RNAcentral lists this long non-coding RNA (1007 nucleotides) under Helianthus annuus (common sunflower). The record is from RNAcentral. Lineage: Eukaryota; Viridiplantae; Streptophyta; Magnoliopsida; Asterales; Asteraceae.
GCAUCCGUUCCCUGACUCCCUAUUGUAACCUCUCCAAUACCUUCAUUGAUCUCCUGUCUCUAUAUAACCGCUAUGGUUGAGGAACCGUAAUGGUGAUGAUUGUCGACGAUGGUUUUCUUCGAUGAUUAUCCCAGCGUCUGCCCCUGUCAUUCUUUAAGUAAAAUCAUUUGAGAGGCAUAUGAUGGUGAUGGAACCUAACCAAAAAGUCAAAGUUUGGAUGAAGAGGUCAAAGAGCCAAGCAAACUACGAGCAAAAAGUAGAUACACGACCCUUGACCUGAUAAUGAUUUAACAAGGAGAACGAAGUUCAUGUAUUUGGUGAAUAAGCUUGGACUUGCUAAGGUUGGACUUGUUUUCAAUGGGUUCCAUGUGCUAUUGAAAUUCUUAGUUGAUAUUAAAGGUUGUAUGCUAAAUGCGCUGGUGCAUAACAGAGGAAAAUGAUCAGAGACAUAUGCAGGGGCAUAUUAUAUACCAGUCUAUAUGGCAUAUACUAAAAAAAGAACCAAAUAUGUCAUGUAAUAUGCUGAGAUGGAGCAUGAGUAGCAUAAAACACGCCCAAAUUGGCAUAUUAUACGUUGGGUUGUUUUGUUCAUUUUUUUUUUGUUUAUUUAUACAGAGUUAUCAGGCAUGUAUAGAUUGUUCACUCAUUUAGCUUUGCUAACUUCUUUGUUUACAUAUACUUCCAGGAUUGAUGGUGGAUUAAUGUUUAUACAGAGAAUCAUGAAUGAGACUAUGGUUUUUAAGAUCUGAAGACAUUGUCUUGCACUUAUUUUACUUGGUUAGCAACAGUAUCAGGUUUGCAAAUAUUUGUUGGUGGAUUAUUCAUACUUGAAAGACUAAACAGUUAAGUCGAACAAGGGAGACUAGAAGAAAUUUCACAAGCACCUAUUCAAGAUCCUUGAAGAAAAUUUAAUUUGAUUUGAAGAUUUUGUAAAUAAUUUUGAGUAACUUUAUGAAUGUAUAAUAGAUUAUUAUGAUAUCUUUGAUACCAUUCUUAUGGCGCAAUUC